UAUAAUGCAGUCGACGAACUCUGGUAUUGAUUGGUGCUUGCAUCAUGAUUUACAUUUGAGUGAGUGGCGAACUGGUGAGUAACACGUGGGAAACCUGCCCAGAAGCGGGGGAUAACACCUGGAAACAGAUGCUAAUACCGCAUAACAACUUGGACCGCAUGGUCCGAGUUUGAAAGAUGGCUUCGGCUAUCACUUUUGGAUGGUCCCGCGGCGUAUUAGCUAGAUGGUGGGGUAACGGCUCACCAUGGCAAUGAUACGUAGCCGACCUGAGAGGGUAAUCGGCCACAUUGGGACUGAGACACGGCCCAAACUCCUACGGGAGGCAGCAGUAGGGAAUCUUCCACAAUGGACGAAAGUCUGAUGGAGCAACGCCGCGUGAGUGAAGAAGGGUUUCGGCUCGUAAAACUCUGUUGUUAAAGAAGAACAUAUCUGAGAGUAACUGUUCAGGUAUUGACGGUAUUUAACCAGAAAGCCACGGCUAACUACGUGCCAGCAGCCGCGGUAAUACGUAGGUGGCAAGCGUUGUCCGGAUUUAUUGGGCGUAAAGCGAGCGCAGGCGGUUUUUUAAGUCUGAUGUGAAAGCCUUCGGCUCAACCGAAGAAGUGCAUCGGAAACUGGGAAACUUGAGUGCAGAAGAGGACAGUGGAACUCCAUGUGUAGCGGUGAAAUGCGUAGAUAUAUGGAAGAACACCAGUGGCGAAGGCGGCUGUCUGGUCUGUAACUGACGCUGAGGCUCGAAAGUAUGGGUAGCAAACAGGAUUAGAUACCCUGGUAGUCCAUACCGUAAACGAUGAAUGCUAAGUGUUGGAGGGUUUCCGCCCUUCAGUGCUGCAGCUAACGCAUUAAGCAUUCCGCCUGGGGAGUACGGCCGCAAGGCUGAAACUCAAAGGAAUUGACGGGGGCCCGCACAAGCGGUGGAGCAUGUGGUUUAAUUCGAAGCUACGCGAAGAACCUUACCAGGUCUUGACAUACUAUGCAAAUCUAAGAGAUUAGACGUUCCCUUCGGGGACAUGGAUACAGGUGGUGCAUGGUUGUCGUCAGCUCGUGUCGUGAGAUGUUGGGUUAAGUCCCGCAACGAGCGCAACCCUUAUUAUCAGUUGCCAGCAUUAAGUUGGGCACUCUGGUGAGACUGCCGGUGACAAACCGGAGGAAGGUGGGGAUGACGUCAAAUCAUCAUGCCCCUUAUGACCUGGGCUACACACGUGCUACAAUGGAUGGUACAACGAGUUGCGAACUCGCGAGAGUAAGCUAAUCUCUUAAAGCCAUUCUCAGUUCGGAUUGUAGGCUGCAACUCGCCUACAUGAAGUCGGAAUCGCUAGUAAUCGCGGAUCAGCAUGCCGCGGUGAAUACGUUCCCGGGCCUUGUACACACCGCCCGUCACACCAUGAGAGUUUGUAACACCCAAAGUCGGUGGGGUAACC
Molecule: ribosomal RNA, 1421 nt
Filed under: Lactiplantibacillus plantarum
Lineage: Bacteria; Bacillati; Bacillota; Bacilli; Lactobacillales; Lactobacillaceae
Description: bacterial SSU rRNA
Rfam family: Bacterial small subunit ribosomal RNA
Source: RNAcentral